Chiroxiphia lanceolata (lance-tailed manakin) is the source of this 663-nucleotide long non-coding RNA. RefSeq lists it as uncharacterized. The record is from RefSeq and is a predicted model, not a curated record. NCBI's taxonomy places the organism in Eukaryota, Metazoa, Chordata, Aves, Passeriformes, Pipridae. The transcript is spliced from 2 exons.
UUGAGAACAUAAUUAGAUCCACCUAUUAAAAUUAUAUCUAAUAAAAUCAAAGUUUUCAUACUAAUUAUAUAAAAGAAUGAAGAAAUAGCAUAUGACUAAGCAACAUUGAUUUCUGGCUUAUUACUGAAUGACUUAUCUCCCCAGAAAACUGUCAUUUUAACAAUGCUUAAGUGCAUUACUACUGAUAUAGAAAGGACAUUACAGGGAAGAAGUGAGAAACAGAAUCUGGGGAGCACAGCUGGACUUAUGAUCCCACAAGGGGACCCCCACUGGAUCAGUCUGUUCCUGGAGGACUGCACUCCAUGGAAGGGACUCAUGCUGGAGCAGCUUGUAAGGAACUGUGGCCAGCGGGAAGGACUCAUGUUGGAGAAGUUGGUGCAGGACUGUCUCCUGUGGGAGGGACCCCAUGCUGGAGCAGAGGAAGAGUGUGAGGAGUCCUCCCACUGAGGAGGAAGGAGCAGCAAAGACCACGUGUGAUAAACUGACCUCAGACCCCAUUGCCUGCCCCCCUGCGCUGCUGAGAGGAAGGAGGUAGAGAGUUCAGGAGUGAAGCUGAGUCCAGGGAGAAGAGAACAAUGUGGGGAAGACGUUUUUAAGAUUUCAUUUUUUGUCUCAUUAUCCUGCUCUGAUUUGAUUAGUAAUAAAUUAAAUUAAUUUGCCUGA